CCUACGGGCGGCAGCAGUGGGGAAUAUUGGACAAUGGGGGGAACCCUGAUCCAGCCAUGCCGCGUGUGUGAAGAAGGCCCUCGGGUUGUAAAGCACUUUCAGUGAGGAAGAACGCCUGGUGGUUAAUACCCAUCAGGAAAGACAUCACUCACAGAAGAAGCACCGGCUAACUCCGUGCCAGCAGCCGCGGUAAUACGGAGGGUGCGAGCGUUAAUCGGAAUUACUGGGCGUAAAGCGCGCGUAGGUGGCUUGAUAAGCCGGUUGUGAAAGCCCCGGGCUCAACCUGGGAACGGCAUCCGGAACUGUCAAGCUAGAGUGCAUGAGAGGAAGGUAGAAUUCCCGGUGUAGCGGUGAAAUGCGUAGAGAUCGGGAGGAAUACCAGUGGCGAAGGCGGCCUUCUGGACUGACACUGACACUGAGGUGCGAAAGCGUGGGUAGCAAACAGGAUUAGAUACCCUUGUAGUC
This 465-nucleotide ribosomal RNA is filed under the name Vreelandella stevensii. RNAcentral's name for it is "partial 16S ribosomal RNA". It matches the Rfam family "Bacterial small subunit ribosomal RNA", at positions 338 to 795 of the family's 1533-position model. Lineage: Bacteria; Pseudomonadati; Pseudomonadota; Gammaproteobacteria; Oceanospirillales; Halomonadaceae. The record is from RNAcentral.